AACGUAGGGGGCGAGCGUUGUCCGGAAUUACUGGGCGUAAAGGGCGUGUAGGCGGCCAAGUAAGUCAGUCGUGAAACCCAGCGGCUUAACCGCUGGCUGGCGAUUGAAACUGCGUGGCUUGAGUGCAGUAGAGGGGAGUGGAAUUCCCAGUGUAGCGGUGAAAUGCGUAGAUAUUGGGAGGAACACCGGUGGCGAAAGCGGCUCCCUGGCCUGUAACUGACGCUGAGGCGCGAAAGCGUGGGUAGCAAAC
This 250-nucleotide ribosomal RNA is filed under the name uncultured bacterium. RNAcentral's name for it is "partial 16S ribosomal RNA". It matches the Rfam family "Bacterial small subunit ribosomal RNA", at positions 524 to 773 of the family's 1533-position model. RNAcentral also lists the same sequence under 1 other name. The record is from RNAcentral.